CAGUCGCCACGGGAAAACGUAGGGCGCAAGCGUUGUCCGGAAUUAUUGGGCGUAAAGAGCUCGUAGGCGGUCUGUCGCGUCUGGUGUGAAAUCCCGAGGCUCAACCUCGGGCUUGCAUCGGGUACGGGCAGACUAGAGUGCGGUAGGGGAGACUGGAAUUCCUGGUGUAGCGGUGGAAUGCGCAGAUAUCAGGAGGAACACCGAUGGCGAAGGCAGGUCUCUGGGCCGCAACUGACGCUGAGGAGCGAAAGCAUGGGGAGCGAACAGGAUUAGAUACCCCUGUAGUCCCUGUCUCUUAUAC
This 301-nucleotide ribosomal RNA is filed under the name uncultured bacterium. RNAcentral describes it as "partial 16S ribosomal RNA". It matches the Rfam family "Bacterial small subunit ribosomal RNA", at positions 509 to 807 of the family's 1533-position model. The record is from RNAcentral.